Molecule: long non-coding RNA, 1023 nt
Organism: Lolium rigidum
Lineage: Eukaryota; Viridiplantae; Streptophyta; Magnoliopsida; Poales; Poaceae
Exons: 2
Source: RefSeq, a predicted model, not a curated record
AUUACACCCUUGUGCAGUUUCAAAGACAUUUCAUGAGAUACAAAUGUUUACAGGGCUUUGUGCAAAUAUCUGGAGCUUAGGUUUUAAGAUUGGUUGUGCAUAUCAACCAUCUCAUAAAGAACAUCUAUACACAAUCAGUGUUUUUAGUGUGGAUAUACUUCUCCACAUCCUUCCUUCAAAUACUUUUUGUCUUCGCCUUUUUUGCUUCUGAUCUGCAACUAGAGAUUACUAAAACAGCUCCAGUCUGAAGUUAGUGUUUUUUUAGACAAAUCUGCCUGUUCUCCCAUUUUUUGUUGCUUCAUGAUGAGUAGAACGCCUUCAUUUUUCAGUCUGAUGUGGUUUGGUGAGUAUAAAUAACUCACCUGACUAGCAGAUGCAGAAAUGUUGUAGAUAUAUUAAUUCUAGGUAACUUCCAUAUUCUUUUCUAUGUGACUACUCACCUGACUAGCAGUCGCCAGAUGUGCAAACUAUAUGUUCUUUUGGUUCUCUUUGUUAGCGGAUACUUCUUCUAUGUACCCAAUAAAAUGAAACGGUGCCUUUUUCUUUUCAUUUAACCAAUGCGAAAGGCAGGGUCGCGCUAUGCUGCGCCCCAAAAUUCGGUUGCAGUCCAAGCAUUCUGAUACAUGGAGACUGUCGAAAAUGUCCGGAAGGGCUUCAACUAUGCUGAGCUGGAAAAACAGGAGAAUGCGAGCCAGGUCCUUCUCUGGAAGAUGAAAGAAAAUGAUCAAAACAUGGAGAGAAGUCCAAUAAUAAGCUGAAAGAAGUUGCCAGAUCCUAUGCACCUUGGAUGACAGAUUGUGGCUACUGAUCUUAAUCAAUAAGCGUUGGAGUCACAUGACAUGCUCAAGACCAUAGGGCCUUGUUCUAUAUAUGACUGAAUCUGAAUCAUUUGUGUUUAAUGUUUUUUCUGAAUUAUAUGUAAAUAAUGGAACAACUCUCUGUAAACCCAAAUGGAAUGCCUCCAUGUUAUUUUUGGAACCAUGUAUUAGUAUCUGUACGUAACAUAUUUUCCCUGUUUUCUCC